GUGAUAGCAGCAGCCCACGCUGCAGACUGCUGCCAGCUCCGGUUUGGCCACAAACAUCCGCAGGGUGCUGGGAGCCAGGUCGCCGCACGUGUGCAGGCCGACCACGACGGCGUCCUCCAGGGUGGAGGUAGCACGCACGGAAAGAAGAGAAGGAAAGAAGCAGAGGAGAGGAAGGAGAUCGAUGGUGAACUUUAUUGAUGAUGACGCGCCUGCACAUUCGGCGCUGCGGUCGCAUCCCACGCUCACCGCGGUGAUGCAAACUCCAGCUGCGGUGACAGACGUGUAAUCUCAGGAGCUGCCCGGCCCUCCUGUCUGCACCGUCACCCGACACGCACUAAAUCUAUUUCCAACAUUUUACUUUUGGACUCGUUUGCGUCUGCUCACCUCCAGCUCGUCGAUGAGCUCUCGCAGCUCCGUGUCGGCGGUGACGUACGACGUGAGCGGCGAAAACACGGUGGCGGCGCUCUCGCCUCUGUUCAGGGCCUUCCUCUCCAGGUUCUCCCUCUUCCUCCUCUCCCUCUCCUUCUCGCUCAGCUGGCUGGGGGGAACUCUGGGGGAUGUAGUCUCUAUCACGUCCACUGACAGGGCGCUAAGGAAGAGCUCGUCGGUUCCUGGGUUUGUUGUGGGGCUGACAUCUGAUAAUACAGGGUUUCUUUCCACUUCUAACUCCACCUGAAGUGACAGCGCGGCCUCCGAACGUGCCCUCGCCGCCUUGCUGUGGUUCUGGUAAACUCUGGAGAACUUCUUCAGCUUCCUGUUCCUCUCCUGGGCACCGUGGGUGUUGGUGCUGGAGGAGUCGAUGCCGUAGACCCGGAGACCGUACCGCAGCGACAGGAAGGAACUCAGGUAGCCCUUCCCCGAGCCCACAUCUAUCACCUGGGUGGGAGGAGAAAAGAUGGGAGGAGAAAUUAAUUCCUGAAUUGGGGUAAUACGGCUAAACUCUCCCAGUUUACAGUUGUAUGAUUUGACCUGUUUGACUCCGCAGCGCUGGGCCAAACAGGCCACCACCUCAGACAUGGCCUGGACCUCAUGAGAUUUUUUGGAGUUCAUGAACUCAUCUGUUUCCAGCUCAGCACCUGGAGAAAAAGUGCAACAUAUGGGUUAGGGUUAUGUCCUGUUCUUUUACAUAAGUCCCAGAUCCAUUCUGGGUAUGUUCAUACCUUCGUCGCUCCUUCCUGUCUCUGCGGGUGCAGCGCCCCCCUCAGGCCCGGUCCCUCUGAGGCCCUGCAGCAGCUCCUCCCUGCUCCAGCACACUCCGAGGCCUGGGAGCGAGUGGGCCCUGGCCGCCCGCAGGAGUUCAUGGAUGUCGACCAGUCGAUUUGUUUCACAGCAAAAUCCAAACGUGGUCCUGGGCGGAUCUGUUUGGGAAGACAGGCACAGAAACAUCAGCAAAGUUGCACAAAACUGGAUUUAACCAUGUAGAUAUUGUAGACUUAAACUUAAAGUAAAAUUUGCAUUCAUACGAAUAAUUGAAAUAAUGUAAAGGAUUUGUUAAUUAUCUAAUACAAAGAACUUUAAGCAUUGAUUUAAUGUUUAACAGCAGCUUCAAAAUGACGUGGUUACAGCUGGAUGAUCCACUGACCUCAGUAGGAAUGUGUCUUUCUGACUUAUUGAUUCAUUGUCUAGUAUGUGCACCAUUUGCCUUGCAUCCCAAAAGUGUCUGUAAAUAUAAAAUAAAAAUAAUGUCAAAAUUGUCAUUUAACAAUAUAUACUUAAAUAUUAAAUGAAAUAUUGUAUCAAAUCAUUUAUAAAUAAGGCAAUGUAAUAUACUUAAAUGUUUUAUAAAAUAAUACAUGAAAUAAAUCAUAAAGAAAUGUA
This is a long non-coding RNA of Limanda limanda (common dab), 1818 nucleotides long. RefSeq lists it as uncharacterized. The transcript is spliced from 2 exons. Lineage: Eukaryota; Metazoa; Chordata; Actinopteri; Pleuronectiformes; Pleuronectidae. The record is from RefSeq and is a predicted model, not a curated record.